GAUGAACGCUGGCGGCGUGCCUAAUACAUGCAAGUCGAACGCUGGAAAUCUAGCUUGCUAGAUUGAAGGAGUGGCGAACGGGUGAGUAAUACAUAAGCAACCUACCCACGAAGACUGGGAUAAUCUCUGGAAACGGGGACUAAUACCGGAUAGGUAAUCGGAAGGCAUCUUCUGAUUAUUAAAUGUUACAAACACUGGUUGAUGGGCUUAUGGAGGAUUUUUUCGUUGGUGAGGUUACGGCCCAACAAGCCGCAGAUUCGGAGCCGGGCUGAGAGGGUGAACGACCACAUUGGGACCGCGACACGGCCCAGACGUCUACGGGAGGCAGCAGUAGGGAAGUUUAGGCAAGGGGGAAAAACCUGACCGAGCAACGCCGGGUGAGAGAGGGCGGCCUUCGGGUUGUACAUCUCUGUUGUAAGGGAAGAACGGUAGAUAGAGAAUAUCUAAAUGACGGUACCUAACCAAAAAGCCACGGCUAACUACGUG
Molecule: ribosomal RNA, 486 nt
Filed under: uncultured bacterium
Lineage: Bacteria
Description: partial 16S ribosomal RNA
Rfam family: Bacterial small subunit ribosomal RNA
Source: RNAcentral